UUUCCGUAGGUGAACCUGCGGAAGGAUCAUUACAGAGUUCAUGCCCUAACGGGUAGAUCUCUCACCCUUGCAUCUUUAUACCUUAGUUGCUUUUGCAGGACGUGGAAACACCAUGUGCUCCUGCUUAUGCGUGCCUGCCAGAGGAAACAAACUCUAUUUUUAGUGAUGUGUGAUUACUAUCUAAUAGUUAAAACUUUCAACAACGGAUCUCUUGGUUCUG
RNAcentral lists this unclassified non-coding RNA (220 nucleotides) under plant metagenome. RNAcentral's name for it is "partial contains small subunit ribosomal RNA, internal transcribed spacer 1, and 5.8S ribosomal RNA". The record is from RNAcentral.